RNAcentral lists this ribosomal RNA (253 nucleotides) under uncultured bacterium. RNAcentral's name for it is "partial 16S ribosomal RNA". It matches the Rfam family "Bacterial small subunit ribosomal RNA", at positions 524 to 776 of the family's 1533-position model. The record is from RNAcentral.
UACGUAGGGUGCGAGCGUUGUCCGGAAUUAUUGGGCGUAAAGAGCUUGUAGGCGGUUUGGCGCGUCUGCUGUGAAAAUCCGGGGCUCAACCCCGGACUUGCUGUGGGUACGGGCAGACUAGAGUGUGGUAGGGGAGACUGGAAUUCCUGGUGUAGCGGUGAAAUGCGCAGAUAUCAGGAGGAACACCGAUGGCGAAGGCAGGUCUCUGGGCCACUACUGACGCUGAGAAGCGAAAGCAUGGGGAGCGAACAGG